This is a long non-coding RNA of Anopheles coluzzii, 299 nucleotides long. RefSeq lists it as uncharacterized. The transcript has 2 exons. The record is from RefSeq and is a predicted model, not a curated record. NCBI's taxonomy places the organism in Eukaryota, Metazoa, Arthropoda, Insecta, Diptera, Culicidae.
UGAAGGGAUAUACACGCUUAGACGGAGAGAGAAAGAGAGAGAGAGAGAGAGAGCAGAACAAACGAACGAACGAACGUGGACGUGGAAGGAAGCGAAGAUCACAGUGCUCCCCGGCGAUGAAGAUGGCGCGCAGCGACUUCAAGCUGUACUUCCGGCCAUACGUGACGUCCGGAUCGACGCGCCGGAUGACGCGAAAAGCGGUCGGUACGGAAAACACGGCCGACACCUUGUGCUGAUCGAUGAUGCGAAAGUACUGGCCCGGAUCGGGCGUUCGGUCCGGUUUGCCCUCGUACAUGACG